AGUGAACGCUGGCGGUAGGCCUAACACACGCAAGUCGAACGGCAGCACAGUAAGAGCUUGCUCUUACGGGUGGCGAGUGGCGGACGGGUGAGGAAUACAUCGGAAUCUACUUUUUCGUGGGGGAUAACGUAGGGAAACUUACGCUAAUACCGCAUACGACCUACGGGUGAAAGCAGGGGAUCUUCGGACCUUGCGCGAUUGAAUGAGCCGAUGUCGGAUUAGCUAGUUGGCGGGGUAAAGGCCCACCAAGGCGACGAUCCGUAGCUGGUCUGAGAGGAUGAUCAGCCACACUGGAACUGAGACACGGUCCAGACUCCUACGGGAGGCAGCAGUGGGGAAUAUUGGACAAUGGGCGCAAGCCUGAUCCAGCCAUACCGCGUGGGUGAAGAAGGCCUUCGGGUUGUAAAGCCCUUUUGUUGGGAAAGAAAAGCAGCAGGUUAAUACCCCGCUGUUCUGACGGUACCCAAAGAAUAAGCACCGGCCAACUUCGUG
Molecule: ribosomal RNA, 492 nt
Filed under: uncultured bacterium
Lineage: Bacteria
Description: partial 16S ribosomal RNA
Rfam family: Bacterial small subunit ribosomal RNA
Source: RNAcentral